Homo sapiens (human) is the source of this 1645-nucleotide long non-coding RNA. Ensembl annotates it as long intergenic non-protein coding RNA 1370. The record is from Ensembl. Lineage: Eukaryota; Metazoa; Chordata; Mammalia; Primates; Hominidae.
AUCAUUUAGCUCGCACUUAUAAAUGACAACAUGCAGUAUUUGGUUUUCUGUUCCUGCGUUAGUUUGCUAAGGAUAAUGGCCAUUAUCUUAGCCAUUUGAAAAUAAUGAUUUAACCUCUCUCACCUUCAUUGUCAUUUUAGAAGAAACUACCAUUUGGUGUCCUGCUGAGACAAGAAAAUAUUUUCACAACUCAAGACAAGUUAAAUAUCCACUUAUGGGAACAGUGCUGAAGGCCUGGACUAGGAUGGUAGCAAUGGAGACAGACUAAAGAAAGAGAUGCAAUCAUUCCCUUGCAUAUGGUCCGUAUGAAGACGGGAUCAUUACAGGAAAGGCCUAGUAGAGCUGCCAACUGACUGCAGACACAUGAGUCAAUCCAGCUAAUGCCACAUGGAGCAGAGACAAGCCGCCCAGCUGAGCCCAGUCCAGAUGACAGAAUCAUGAGCAAAUAAGGUUCCAUAUGGAGAGGACUGAUGAAGCCAGCAUUAGGCGUGAUGGGGACGUGCAUAAAUGUGUAUGUUAUCCACUGAGACACAGAUUCUGAAGCACCAGAACAUUAAAGGCACUUCUACUUGUUUCUUCUACCCAGCUGAAAGGACAGAAAGCUUCUUCCACAGAGCCAGGACAGUCCAGGGGAACGUAGUCCUUCGACUGAAAGCUAUGCUUCCUAUUUUCUAACAAAGAGGCUAGGUCAUGUUGACCACCCAGUUUUGGCCUGCCUGGCUUGCUUUUUAUUCCAGCCUGGAGGACUUUCAGGGUUGAAUAUCCACUCAAGCCAAAUCCCAAGAAGCAUAACCUGCUAUUAGACUCUUGUCACUUAUCGGGUGAGGGGCUGUGCGGCUGUUCCAGUGCUUCCCCACUUGGGUCUUGUGACAUACCCUGGGGCCAAGCCAAGCCCUGGAGGUUAGCUUCUACAGUCUGUCCUUAAAGAGAGCUCAGGGAUGUCUGGACAGGACCUGGAGACAGUGCCCUGGGCCAGAGACCUCUGAUCUCUAGGCCAGCAGAGUCACCAUGCAGACAGAUUUAUGAGCCUUAGGCAAAACAGCUGGCAUUCCUGUGGCCAUCUUUCUACCCCUUCCUUUCCACAUGACCAUAUCCUUGGCCAGAUCUUCAUGUCCUUAGAUGGCUGUUGCCUUUGGGUAAAUUGGCAAUUAAGAUAAAUGAGCAUAUUUAUCAUGGCCUUGUGGUUACCCCUCCUGAAGCUCUCAGGGUGGCAAGCUGCCUGACCCUCCUACUAUGAACUUAGUAACUUUAAAACAGAGAGUAUCUUUUCUUGCCCAGCUGAAAUUUCCUCCCCAGGCGACCUACUUUUAGGAUUAAUAUGCGGGAAAGUCUGCAGUUUUGUUUUCAGUGAGGGUAGUUGUGUUUUCAAGGAAAGAGGUAGCGCCUUACAGUCAGAUUAGCCAGCUUUAUUUCUUUCAUCAACCCUUUACUGGCUUUCUAAAUUUUUUCAAGUAACUUCACCUCUCUGAGUUUCAUUUACCUCAUUACCUUCAUCAGGUAAGAUGACAUAUGAAAAGCCCUUCUCAAGCAACUGCAAAGUUCCAAUUAAUAGAAGAAAUUGUAAUGACUAUCUGUGUUUGAAGCGGGGCCAUUUUUCUUAUUUGGAAUUUUCACGUAUUAAAAAUAUGGAUCCUUUACACCUGUA